GAGACAGAGUCUCACUCUGUUGGCCAGGCUGGAGUGUAGUGGCAUGAUCUCGGCUCACUGCAACCUCCACCUCCUGGGCUCAAGUGAUUCUUCUGCCUCAGCCUCCCAAGUAGCUGGGACUACAGGGGUGAGCCACUGCGCCCAGCCCUAAACUGACUCUUGACCAAAGAAUCUGAUUUGGCAAACCAAAUCUUAGUGCAGUGUUCGCUCCUUCUCCCCUUACCCAGAACAUGAUUCAGAUCCUAACAUAAACACAAAAACAGGUCAGGGACCAAAACGCCGUGGUCUUGUCUAUUAUGCAAAAUAUUGAGAUAAUGUUCAUGAUUCAUUCUGUUUUCAGCAAUUGUGUCCAUUUUGAAGCUUCUCUCGAAGCUUCGAAACACUGCAUUUUUUCAUACUAAAUAUCAAAAUGUGUCACACAGGCAUCACCAGUG
Molecule: non-coding RNA, 434 nt
Filed under: Pongo abelii (Sumatran orangutan)
Lineage: Eukaryota; Metazoa; Chordata; Mammalia; Primates; Hominidae
Source: RNAcentral